CAGGCAAGAGCUCAGAUUUGAAAGCCUCUCGGGGCAUUGUAUUCUGAAGCCUUGAUUCUGAGAAACGGUACCUAAGUCUUCUGGAAAGGAGCGCCAAGGAGGGUGAUAGCCCCGUACGGUACUGACCUCAUUGUAGAAUCUUGGCGUGGAGUCGAGUUGUUUGGGAAUGCAGCUCAAAUGGGUGGUAUGCUCCAUCUAAAGCUAAAUAUCUGCGAGAGACCGAUAGCGAACAAGUACUGUGAAGGAAAGAUGAAAAGAACUUUGAAAAGAGAGUGAAAAAGUACGUGAAAUUGUUGAAAUGGAAGGAUAGGCCGCUAACCACGUAGAGCCGUGUCUGAGGGGAGGAUAAAAGCUGUAGAAUGUGACUCUUCGGAGUGUUAUAGCUGCAGUGCAUACUCCCACUCGGGCGCGAGGACCUAAGGCUCUGCUAAAUGGUGGUCUAUCACCCGUCUUGAAC
RNAcentral lists this ribosomal RNA (457 nucleotides) under Starmerella bombicola. RNAcentral describes it as "partial large subunit ribosomal RNA". It matches the Rfam family "Eukaryotic large subunit ribosomal RNA", at positions 98 to 659 of the family's 3401-position model. The record is from RNAcentral. Lineage: Eukaryota; Fungi; Ascomycota; Dipodascomycetes; Dipodascales; Trichomonascaceae.